CACGUAGUUAGCCGGGGCUUCUUAGUCAGGUACCGUCUUUUUUUCGUCCCUGCUGAUAGAGCUUUACAUACCGAAAUACUUCCUCGCUCACGCGGCGUCGCUGCAUCAGGGUUUCCCCCAUUGUGCAAUAUUCCCCACUGCUGCCUCCCGUAGGAGUUUGGGCCGUGUCUCAGUCCCAAUGUGGCCGGUCGCCCUCUCAGGCCGGCUACUGAUCGUUGCCUUGGUGGGCUCUUACCCCUCCAACUAGCUAAUCAGACGCGGACUCAUCCUGCACCGAAUUUCUUUUCCUACUCCCUCAUGCGAGGCUGUAGGCUUAUGCGGUAUUAGCAGCCAUUUCUAGCUGUUGUCCCCCUGUGCAGGGCAGAUUAUCCACGUGUUACUCACCCGUCCGCCACUCAGUCAGGAAGGUGCAAGCACCCUCCUGCUUCGUUCGACUUGCAUGUGUUAAGCACGCCGCCAGCGUUCAUCCUGAGCCAGGAUCAAACUCU
Molecule: ribosomal RNA, 488 nt
Filed under: uncultured Lachnospiraceae bacterium
Lineage: Bacteria; Bacillati; Bacillota; Clostridia; Lachnospirales; Lachnospiraceae
Description: partial 16S ribosomal RNA
Source: RNAcentral